CAGCCGCCACGGUAAUACGAGGGGGGCAAGCGUUGUUCGGAAUUAUUGGGCGUAAAGGGCGCGUAGGCGGUUUGGCAAGUUUGGUGUGAAAUCUUCGGGCUCAACUCGAAGUCUGCACCGAAAACUGCCGGGCUUGAGUAUGGGAGAGGUGAGUGGAAUUUCCGGUGUAGCGGUGAAAUGCGUAGAUAUCGGAAGGAACACCUGUGGCGAAAGCGGCUCACUGGACCAUUACUGACGCUGAGGCGCGAAAGCUAGGGGAGCAAACAGGAUUAGAUACCCGCGUAGUCCCUGUCUCUUAUAC
Molecule: ribosomal RNA, 301 nt
Filed under: uncultured bacterium
Lineage: Bacteria
Description: partial 16S ribosomal RNA
Rfam family: Bacterial small subunit ribosomal RNA
Source: RNAcentral